RNAcentral lists this small RNA (521 nucleotides) under Kuehneromyces mutabilis. Its description in RNAcentral is "eukaryotic LSU rRNA". The stretch from base 142 to 295 matches the Rfam family "5.8S ribosomal RNA". The record is from RNAcentral. Lineage: Eukaryota; Fungi; Basidiomycota; Agaricomycetes; Agaricales; Kuehneromycetaceae.
UCCGAGGCAACUCGGUCGUGAGGAGUUGCUGUAGCAAUACGGCUCUCCUUGAACAAGUCUUUCAGAGUCUAUGUUUUUCAUAUACCCCAUAGUAUGUAACAGAAUGUAUACAAUGAGCCUUAGUGCUUAUAAAACUUAUACAACUUUCAACAACGGAUCUCUUGGCUCUCGCAUCGAUGAAGAACGCAGCGAAAUGCGAUAAGUAAUGUGAAUUGCAGAAUUCAGUGAAUCAUCGAAUCUUUGAACGCACCUUGCGCUCCUUGGUAUUCCGAGGAGCAUGCCUGUUUGAGUGUCAUUAAAUUCUCAACCUUUAUUAGCUUUUGCUGAUAAUGGCUUGGACUUGGGGGUCUUUUGCCGGCUUUUACUAGUCAGCUCCCCUUAAACGCAUUAGCUGGUCACCUCUGGUGGAACCGUCUAUUGGUGUGAUAAUUAUCUACGCCGUGGACAUCUGCCCUUGGAGUAGGUGUGCUGCUUCUAACCGUCUGUUCAUUCGGACAAUACAUAUGACAUUUGACCUCAAA